Molecule: long non-coding RNA, 896 nt
Organism: Cyprinus carpio carpio
Lineage: Eukaryota; Metazoa; Chordata; Actinopteri; Cypriniformes; Cyprinidae
Source: Ensembl
GUAAGCGCUAUAAAUCUACUUUUAUUCAUAGAUUUUAACUGAUAUAAACUUGGAUGUCAUGAAAGAGGAGUAGUGUUUUGUAUUUUGUAGGUUUUCUAAUUCAAUUUAAUAAAUAAAUGCUCUGUUUGGUUAAUUAGCUCAAAAGCAGUCUCAGAGGUGGUCUAAGACACAACCACAUAUCAUCCAAAUCAUCUCCAAGUGGAUGGCAGCAAGGAUCCAGGAUCAAGAGAUGAUUCAUCAUGAAGACUGUUCCAUAGGAAGCAGUGAAUCCUGGGUGAACAACUAAACCUGGUUGUUUCAGCAUCACUCAGAUUUGAGGGAAAGAUGAAAAAUCAGGAGGUCUGGGAACGACUGAAGAAGACAGCAGUGAGGGAAGGAAGUAAUCACCAAAUCUGCCAGAGAAGGAUAUUGACGGUGCAGGCUCAGGAUGAAGAAGAGGAGGAAGAACAUAGGAACUCUUUCCUGAAGAAGAUCAGGUGCUGAGAAGGAGCCUUGUUCUACAGCAAAACACUGCAUCAAGCCUCCUGUCCUUCCCUCAGAAGAGCCUGUCUUCUGCUGCUGGGGUAAGAAAGACCCUCUUCCUCUUCUCUAUCGGCUGUCCAGCACCUAACUCUGCCUCCUCAGCACUGACUGAAAGAGUCUUCUCCACAGUCCGUUAUCAGAGUAUUCACAGAUUCUCCUGAGAAAGUCAAUAUGCUCAUUUUCUUAAACUGUUUAUGUUUUUUUGGGGUGGGACAAAUAAUACAGGAGAGAUGCUAGAAAUCCCUAUAUUGUUCAUUUUUCAUAUCUUUACGCUUUAUGAAUGUUUUUUUUUAAUCUUUUGAGAAGCUCAAGAAUUAUGGUUCUUUGGUAAUUGCAAUAUUGUUUAGGUUUAUCUUCUGAUAGUGAGCCCCGCA